GGUGUGGGGGCAGAGCUGCUGUCACAUCCGCUUGUCCCUGCAGCUUCUCUGUUACCCCAGUGAUUUCCUGCCAGGGGGGCGGGGGCUGCUGCUGCCUCCUGCCCCCCUCCCCCAGCCAGGGCCACAGUGCACUGCAGCCCCACCCCACCAUUGCAGUGUACUGUGCCCUCCCUGGGAGGGUCCCUCCAGGAGCUCCCACCUAGGGGGCACCCCGCCCCAGCUUGGCAUGCAACACGCCUUCCCCCCAUGGCUCUCACGCAAGGGUUGGGCUGGAGCUGUGUUGGGUUUUUUCCCAUCUGAGCUGCAGGCCUGUCCCUACAGGCCCCUGGGGCCCUGGCAAAGUCAGGUGAAACUCAGGGGUACCAGGCGGCUGACGUCUCAUUCUAGGGACCGCUGUGACAACGGGUGCUCGCGGCGUUUCCAACCGUGAAGCACCCCGAUACGACCAAAUGGGGCAUCGUUUUGACCGGUGAAUGAGCGCGGGAAAAUGAGAAGUCUGAGGAAGGAUGCAAAUAUUUGAGGCUACGCUCUGUUCUUUGGCUGUAUUGCACUACGGAGCUAACAGCAAUAGGGAAGAGAAACUGGGAGGAAACAGACAGGCUGUUUGCAAAGGUUUCUCAAAAGCGGUAGGAGGCUGCUUCAGAUGGCGGGUGCUGCAAAGAACCAGACUUUUCAUCUUCCCAUAGCAAUAUGAGAAGUCGUGCUAAGGCUGGGCUAUACAGCGCCGAGUUUGUCAGUCUUGUUUAAUGUACACUAUUAAGAACUUCCUGUUGGAACCCUGGGCAGUGACCUCGGCUGAAAGUGCUGUAUCUGUUUUUGUCAAUGAGAACCAAUUCUAUUCUCGGGUCUGUUGCUACAGCUCCUUCAAAUCGGAGAGUGGCGACUGUGUUUCCAAGGGCAAAAUUAUGUCCUAUGUUACCUGGAGCUGCUACUCUUUGGUAAAAGAAAGAGAAAUGAUUGUGUAGAAACUGCUGAACACUUAAGUCUGUUCUGCGUAUUUGCAAAUUGUUUGCAUAGAACCAUAACCUUCUAUUUUAAAAUAAUUGUGGGAUUGAAUUCUAAUAAAAAGUUGGAUGUAGCCGGCCCCAGUGAAUUAUAUCUUUCGCUGCAGGCCGGCAGCAGGUUGAACUACCCACGCUGCCCUGGCAACACCUGUGAUCUGGGGGCGACUUCCUAGGGUUAAAACAACAGCAGGUCAGUCUCCAUGGAUGGUGUAAUUCCUUGUUUCUCUGCUGAUAUGCCUUAUUCUAAACAGUGUUUAAGGACAAUGGUUUCUCGAGCCAAACAGAGGUUGCUUAUGCACAAGUAUCUUCUGAGAAGAGUAUCCAGGAGACUAGAGGUUUGCAAGGCUCUAGGCCAGCACCGUGGGAAUGCAAGCUUCGUGCUUCUGUUUAAAGAGGCUGUUCCUCAUGCCUGGGAAGAGCUCCCGGUAAACACCUGCAAAGCUUCCACAUUGUCCUCCUUCAAACCCAGCACUGCCAUGUCACC
Alligator mississippiensis (American alligator) is the source of this 1488-nucleotide long non-coding RNA. RefSeq lists it as uncharacterized. NCBI's taxonomy places the organism in Eukaryota, Metazoa, Chordata, Crocodylia, Alligatoridae. The transcript is spliced from 3 exons. The record is from RefSeq and is a predicted model, not a curated record.